Molecule: non-coding RNA, 335 nt
Organism: Pantherophis guttatus
Lineage: Eukaryota; Metazoa; Chordata; Lepidosauria; Squamata; Colubridae
Source: RefSeq, a predicted model, not a curated record
CAGGCAAUAACCACUAGUUGAGUUUGAUACAGCUAUCAAGACACACUGAUGGAACAUGGCAGUGAUGAAAAGAAAUACAGCAAAAGACCACGGCGGAACUGUAUGUUGAAGUCUGGAGAGGUCUCAUCACAGACAGUAGCAAAGACAUAAUUACAAGUCCCCGAGAAAUCAUACAGUUUCAUACCUUGUGAGCUGAGAACUCUGUAGUAGAGCUUGGAGUAGAACAAGAAUCAAAGGAUAAUCGCAUUACCAGCUGCAUAAUCCAAGAAAUGUGAAGCAGAUAAUUUCACUUAAGAAUGCACACACACACAAAAAAAAUUCUUGAACAUCCAUGC